CCUACGGGAGGCAGCAGUGAGGAAUAUUGGUCAAUGGACGGGAGCCUGAACCAGCCAAGCCGCGUGAGGGAAGAAGGUACAGCGUAUCGUAAACCUCUUUUGUCAGGGAACAAAGACGGGGACUAGUCCCCGGAUGAGGGUACCUGAAGAAAAAGAAUCGGCUAACUCCGUGCCAGCAGCCGCGGUAAUACGGAGGAUGCGAGCGUUGUCCGGAUUUUUUGGGUUUAAAGGGUGCGCAGGCGGCCUGUUACGUCAGCGGUAAAAACCCGGGGCGCAAC
This 278-nucleotide ribosomal RNA is filed under the name uncultured bacterium. RNAcentral describes it as "partial 16S ribosomal RNA". It matches the Rfam family "Bacterial small subunit ribosomal RNA", at positions 338 to 613 of the family's 1533-position model. The record is from RNAcentral.